RNAcentral lists this ribosomal RNA (468 nucleotides) under uncultured bacterium. RNAcentral's name for it is "partial 16S ribosomal RNA". It matches the Rfam family "Bacterial small subunit ribosomal RNA", at positions 28 to 507 of the family's 1533-position model. The record is from RNAcentral.
GACGAACGCUGGCGGCGUGCCUAACACAUGCAAGUCGAACGGAAAGGCCCUGCUUUUGUGGGGUGCUCGAGUGGCGAACGGGUGAGUAACACGUGAGUAACCUGCCCAUGACUUUUGGAUAACUUCAGGGAACUGGGGCUAAUACCGGGUAGGAGCUCCGGCUGCAUGGUGGUGGUUGGAAAGUUUCGGCGGUUGGGGAUGGAGUCGCUUUUUAUCAUCUUGUUGGUGGGGUAGUGGCUUACCAAGGCUUCGACGGAUAGUCGGCCUGCGGGGGUGGCCUGCGACACGGCGCCUGAGCCUCGGCCCAGCAGCAGACGGGAGUCAGCGGUGGGGAGUAUUACCCUGACCGCGCAAGGCUGCUGCAGCGAUGCCGCGUGUGGGAUGACGGCCUUCUGGUGUUAAACCGCAUUCGCAGAUGACGAAGCGCGAGUGACGGUAACGGGUAAAGAAGCACCGGCUAACUUCGUG